GUACACGCUGUGACUAGCAUAUCAAUAAGCGGAGGAAAAGAAACUAACAAGGAUUCCCCUAGUAACGGCGAGUGAAGCGGGAAGAGCUCAAAUUUGAAAUCUUAAAGGGUUUCCCUUUACGAAUUGUAGUUUAAAGAAGUGUUUUCUGUUGAGGUUUUGGUAAAAGUUCUUUGGAAUAGGACAUCAUAGAGGGUGAGAAUCCCGUAUUUGACCUUUACUUUCAACUUUGUGAUACACUUUCAAAGAGUCGGAUUGUUUGGGAAUGCAGUCCAAAAUGGGUGGUAAAUUUCAUCUAAAGCUAAAUAUUGGCGAGAGACCGAUAGCGAACAAGUACCGUGAGGGAAAGAUGAAAAGAACUUUGAAAAGAGAGUUAAACAGUACGUGAAAUUGUCAAAAGGGAAGCGUUUGACACCAGUGUUGUUUUUCUGAAAAUCAAUUAAAGAACUGUUUAUGCUAAGCUGUUUAGACUUUAUCAGCUAUCUGUUUAGUUUUGAGCUUUUCUUUAAUGCACUUUUCAGUUAACAAGUCAACAUCAAUUUCUUUUGCUGUAAAAAGCUUGAGGAAGGUGGCUUGAGAUUCGUCUUAAGUGUUUAUAGCCUCUUGCCUAUGCAGUCGGAGAGAUUGAGGUCUGCAGCGUAGAUCCUUCGGGGCUAAAUGCAUUUGUGCUAAGUUAUAGCAUUUCAUAGACAACUUGUUGACUAUGAUUUGUCUUGUAGCUUACUCGCUUAUGUUAUUUUACCUACGCUUAGGAUGUUGACGAGACUGUCGAUCUC
This 773-nucleotide ribosomal RNA is filed under the name uncultured Neocallimastigales. Its description in RNAcentral is "partial large subunit ribosomal RNA". It matches the Rfam family "Eukaryotic large subunit ribosomal RNA", at positions 22 to 646 of the family's 3401-position model. Lineage: Eukaryota; Fungi; Neocallimastigomycota; Neocallimastigomycetes; Neocallimastigales. The record is from RNAcentral.